RNAcentral lists this ribosomal RNA (923 nucleotides) under uncultured bacterium. Its description in RNAcentral is "bacterial SSU rRNA". It matches the Rfam family "Bacterial small subunit ribosomal RNA", at positions 8 to 916 of the family's 1533-position model. The record is from RNAcentral.
AGAGUUUGAUCAUGGCUCAGGACGAACGCUGGCGGCGUGCUUAACACAUGCAAGUGGUGCGACGAACCAGGGCUUGCCCUGGGGCAAAGCCGCGAACGGGUGAGUAACACGUGAGUAACCUGCCCCGAUGACCGGGACAACCCGAGGAAACUCGGGCUAAUACCGGAUGUGGUGUACGGAUUUAAGUCUGUGCACUAAAGGAAGCUUCGGCCUCCGCAUUGGGAGGGGCUCGCGGCCCAUUAGCUUGUUGGUGGGGUAACGGCCUACCAAGGCAACGAUGGGUAGCUGGUCUGAGAGGACGAUCAGCCACACUGGGACUGAGACACGGCCCAGACUCCUACGGGAGGCAGCAGUGGGGAAUCUUGCGCAAUGCGCGAAAGCGUGACGCAGCAACGCCGCGUGGGGGAAGACGGCCUUCGGGUUGUAAACCCCUUUCAGGAGGGACGAAGGUUCGCCGGUGAAUAGCCGUGCGGAUUGACGGUACCUCCAGAAGAAGCUCCGGCUAACUACGUGCCAGCAGCCGCGGUAAUACGUAGGGAGCAAGCGUUGUCCGGAAUCAUUGGGCGUAAAGCGCGCGUAGGCGGCCCUGUAAGUCCGUUGUGAAAGUCAAAGGCUCAACCUUUGAAAGCCGAUGGAUACUGCAGGGCUAGAGUCCGGAAGAGGCGAGUGGAAUUCCUGGUGUAGCGGUGGAAUGCGCAGAUAUCAGGAGGAACACCAAUAGCGAAGGCAGCUCGCUGGGACGGUACUGACGCUAAGGCGCGAAAGCGUGGGGAGCGAACAGGAUUAGAUACCCUGGUAGUCCACGCCGUAAACGAUGGGCACUAGGUGUGGGAGGUGUCGACUCCUCCCGUGCCGUCGCUAACGCACUAAGUGCCCCGCCUGGGGAGUACGGCCGCAAGGCUAAAACUCAAAGGAAUUGACGG